RNAcentral lists this ribosomal RNA (460 nucleotides) under uncultured bacterium. RNAcentral describes it as "partial 16S ribosomal RNA". It matches the Rfam family "Bacterial small subunit ribosomal RNA", at positions 338 to 795 of the family's 1533-position model. The record is from RNAcentral.
CCUACGGGCGGCAGCAGUGAGGAAUAUUGGUCAAUGGACGAGAGUCUGAACCAGCCAAGUAGCGUGAAGGAUGACUGCCCUAUGGGUUGUAAACUUCUUUUAUAUGGGAAUAAAAUGUUCCACGUGUGGGAUUUUGUAUGUACCAUAUGAAUAAGGAUCGGCUAACUCCGUGCCAGCAGCCGCGGUAAUACGGAGGAUCCGAGCGUUAUCCGGAUUUAUUGGGUUUAAAGGGAGCGUAGGUGGAUGGUUAAGUCAGUUGUGAAAGUUUGCGGCUCAACCGUAAAAUUGCAGUUGAAACUGGCAGUCUUGAGUACAGUAGAGGUGGGCGGAAUUCGUGGUGUAGCGGUGAAAUGCUUAGAUAUCACGAAGAACUCCGAUUGCGAAGGCAGUUCACUGGACUUCAACUGACACUGAGGCUCGAAAGUGUGGGUAUCAAACAGGAUUAGAUACCCUUGUAGUC